CAAUCUACUCCAUGGUACGUGUCUCAGAUCCCAUCUUUCCAUUCUUCACUUUGCAAUCUUGCGUCACUGAAUGUGUGAACUGUAAUCUGUUGAACUGAGUGCAUUCCAGGCAGGCAAUAUGGCUAGUUCCCAGAUUAUGCUAGAAUGAUUGGUUUGAAUAGCUGAGGUAACUAGUAGUACAAUAUGACCAUCUGGCAGCAUGAUUUUUAUUGCUUGCUGGUUGCAUAUUGCCUGUCAUCAUGAUUGAUCAUGAGUCAUGGCCAUCUAGCAGUGCAUUUUACUCUCCUGGAUUUUGAAAUUUGAAGCUCUAUGUGCACCUAUGGAAACUAGGUUUAUUGAUUUAGCAUGAAUUUUGGGGAUGUUAUACCUUUCAAGUUUCAACUACAUGACCACCAGAUAUAGUCGACCAACUAUAAGCCUUGACAUUCAGAAUACUACGGGUCGCAUGUUUCUCAGUUUGAAGUUUGCACACAUCUACUAUAAAUUUCAUUGAUUGAGUGCUUUGCUUCUUGUACGUUCAUGUUUUCUGCGGAUAUACUGUUUUUUCAUAGUGUUCAAGCAUCCUGCUAUAUCUAGUUAUGCACCUUGUGGCUGCUCUGCCAGGUUGCUUUAUGUUUUUAUUUUGAGAAAAAGUUGCUUCAUGUUCUAUCUACUGAUAUAAGAUCCCACACCAUUGUUUAUUUAAGACUUCCACAAGUUAACUUCUCAUGAGGCUGUUAGCGUACUACAGCAUUUCAGUCCACUACAAUAGCUGAAUAAUUUACCUUACUAAGCGAACCCACUAAGUCAUCAUAUAUAUACUUUUACAUAAUGUGGUUCUGAAAAUUGGGUAGUUCUCAGAUUCUAGUAGAAUGAUUAGCUUGAAUUGUUGUGGUAACUAGUAGUUUGUACAACAUGACCAUAUGGCAGCAUGUUUUAUUGCUUGCUGGUUGCGUAAUGCCUGUCAUCAUGAUUUGUCAUGACCAUCUAGCAGUGUAUUUCACUCCGUGGUUUCCCCGAGUUCUUCGAUUAUGAUAUAUGAAGCUUUAUGUGCAGGUAUGGAAACUACUAACUUCUAGUUGAUUGAGUAGCGUAAUUAAGUUCACCGUAGGAGGCAACACCAACAGGGUUGAUUGAUUGUACUCUCCCUCUCCCUCCCGCGCCGCCCCCGCACGGUGCCGGGGAGGGAACCCUAGGUGGCCGCCGCCGAGCUCCCCACCCUCCCUCCUCCUCUCCCGUCGCCGCCAGGGGGUCUGGCCGGGCAAAGCUCGCCCGGGCUGGCGGCUGCGGGGCCCUCUCGAUCCCCCGUAGGCAGAGGUGCGGCGCGGGAGCCACGGCGCGACGCCGCCCGGGUGCGUUAGAGGCCGCUGGCGUGGUGGCGGCGUGGACGGUGGAGGAUCGUGCGGGGCGAGCUCUAGCGGCUUGGAUCUGGCGCGUGAGGGGAUGAUGCAAUGAGGGAUGUGGGCGGCGCGGCCUAGCGCUUCCUGGGCGUCGGACGGCGGCUGCUGGCAGCAAGGUAGCCGGCGGCUCUUCUCACGGGCGGGUGGAGGAAGGUGAGUGGGUGGACGGUGGACGCCUUGGUCUCGGGCGGCGGGGGCAGGACGAUGCGUGGAGAGCCGAGGGGGCGCAGGGUUGGCACCGUGGAUGCGGCUACUCGGCAGCCGGACUGCCGGCUGCCUUGGCGGCCUCUCAUCUGGAUCCGGGAUGCCCAGAUCUGAUGGGGCGGCAUCCGCCCCCUGGUUGCGUUGGCUGGUAGUUGGCCGGCAACGCGGACUGGCCUCCGGUGCGGGAGUUUGACGCGGUACUCCUGCAUGGGGCUCGUCGCUCCUCGCGCGGCGUCCGGCGUUCGGUUGCCCUGGAGUCGGUGCACGGCUCUGGGGCGCCUCUGUUCCGGUCAAGAUGGGAGCUUGUAGUUCGAUUGGGGGGCGUCUUCUCAUUAUGGCGUUGAUGAAGGAUCGUGACGGUGGUGGUCAGGACAACAUUUGUGCCGGCAAUCAGAAUAUGUGCCGUAGGCCGCGGAUUUGGCAUCGUCUAAGUUGAUGGCUCGACGAUGGCCGUCGGUAGCCACUGGGCCAUGUCCCCCCCCUCCCGGUCCACCUAGAUAGGAGGGGACUUUAGGCGUGGGUGCCCCUACGGUGGUGGCGCUGACCCUGGCCUGGGGGCUGAUGCCGGGCUUCUCCAACCGCGGUUUGCGCACGGUGAAGCGGACGGUCGGCUUUGUCUCGUGGCAUGGAUGCCAGGGCGGUGGCCCUGGAAGGUGGUCCACAUGGUUGGCUCUCUAGCGGGCACCAUGGCGGCGGUGGUAGCAUUGUCUCUUGGUCGUGUGGGGCUUGGCGCAAGGUAGCUCGGGCGGGCUCUCGGUCUCCGUGGGGGCGCCUCGAUCCAGAUCUGGGGAGUUGAGCUCGUCAUGCUUCUUCUGAAGACCUCGUGGUGACACGCGAGAACUACCGGGCGAAAGCUCUGCGCUCUGGCGCCGACGAUGAUGACGCUCGAGGGCGCCACUCUCUUAUUGAAGAUGUCGUCGUGGUGUUCCCAUCCGUGUCCGGGUUCCGGGUGAAAACCUUUGUCCAUUGUGGACUCGAUAGCGGCGACGCUUGGCGCCGGCAUCCCUCCUGAGGGCGUUGUCGUGGAGCUUAGGUGUAUAGGGCGUAGCGUAGCGUUGUACUCGGGUCCUCCUAUGCUUUUUCGUCGGUACCAUUGGUGAUCCGUUUAUUCUGGGAUCGGCUUUGUAAGAGGACUACCUCUCCACCUUGUAUCGUUCGGCCGUGUACUUUGUUCGGUUGUUGCUUUUAUAUAUAAAGCGGGGCGAAAGCCUGUUUCGAGAGAGUUGAUUGAGUUAGCAUGAAUUCUGGGAAUGCUAUAUCUUUAAAGUUUCAAUUGCAUGACAACUAGAUAUAGUUGACCAACUGUGAGCCUUGACAUUCAGAAUACUAGGGGUUGCAUGUUUCUCAGUUUUCACUUUGCACAAAGCUACUACACAUUUUGUUGAAUGAUUGCUCUGCUUCUUGUAUGUUCAUAUUUUCUGCGCAUUACUCUGUUUUGUCGCAGUUUUCAAGCACCCUGUUAUGUCUAGUUAUGUUCCUUGUGGCUGCUGCUGUACCAAGUUGCUACAUGUUGUGUACACACCUUGUCUAUCUACUAAUAUAAGAUCCCACACCAUUGUUUAUUUCAGGCUUCUACAAGUUAACUUCUAGUGAUGCUGUUAGCGUACCCACUACAGUAGCUGAAUAAUUUACCUUGCUUAGUGAACCCACUAACUCAUCAUAUAUAUUGUUACAUAAUCUGGCCCACUUGUUACCAAACUUUAUGCCUCGCUGCUUCUCUGCUUUAUUACUUUUUAGCUACUUUCCCUUGCUAUUUAAGCACCAUUCGGGGUCGGUGAGAUCCAUCUCUUGUGCAAGGGGUUGUCCCCCGGCUAGCUAAGAACCCUAGCUACAGUACUUCUAGAUCGAGCAAUCCAUCUUCUUGAGGUGGCCUACUUUCUGUGUUUUGCAUUUCAUUUCUGAAGAUCAUCGACAGAUCCUUAGUUAGCGCCUGUCAGUACCAUACUUGCUGGUAUUGAUGAAUCUAGCCUCGUAUGAGAUGGCUUCUGUAACCAACUUGCUUCAUGUCGUGUGCACACCUUCUGUUAAUUGAUAUAAGGAGAUCCCGCACAGGCGUUUAGUUCAGGCUACCGGGAGUCAACUCCUGGUGAGGCUAUUAGCACACUAUGUAUGGCAUUUCAGUCGACAACACUAGCUGAAUAAUCUACCUUGCUUAGUGAAUCCAGUAAUCCAUCUUAUAUAUUGUUAUGUAGUGUGGCUCAGCUUUAAGAACUUAAUCGCUUGAAGAAAUGUACAGCCUGAUUUUAUUGCUACACUCUGACUGUUGCUAUGUGUUACUGCUGGACUACAUCUUCACUCGUUCUAAUCAGGCUGUAUUUUGUUGUUACAUCAAUUAUAGGCGCUCGCAACUGAGGUCUUCAACAGUCAACACACACGACGCGGCGCAUGAAUGCAGGCAGGCACACGUUUUUGGAUUGCUAACCUGAAUAUCUGAUGGUUCUGUAGUGAGUGCUGUAAUGUUUACCUCAAGUUGCUACUCUGUGUUUGCAUGAGGAUGAGGUGUGCUUGAUGUGAGUGUGUGGCUUGUUCUAACCGUGGAGUACCUAGUUGCUCCGUGGCAAGAGAUAACCCUGCUUGGAGAUGAUGUGACCCAGGUAGUCGAUGUGGUCCUGGGCAAACGAGCACUUGGACAACUUGGCGUACAGCUGAUGCUCGCGGAGCAGGUUGAGGACGAGGCGGAGGUGCUCGAUGUGUUCUUCCAGGGUCUCACUGAAAACGAGAAUGUCGUCAAGGAAUAUGAUGACAAACUUACGCGUAUACUUGGCGAAGAUGGCAUUCAUCAAGCACUGGAAUGUUGCCGGGGCAU
This 4389-nucleotide long non-coding RNA is filed under the name Triticum aestivum (bread wheat). RNAcentral's name for it is "long non-coding RNA (TAES_LNC002965)". The record is from RNAcentral. Lineage: Eukaryota; Viridiplantae; Streptophyta; Magnoliopsida; Poales; Poaceae.